Peromyscus eremicus (cactus mouse) is the source of this 231-nucleotide long non-coding RNA. RefSeq lists it as uncharacterized. The transcript has 3 exons. The record is from RefSeq and is a predicted model, not a curated record. Lineage: Eukaryota; Metazoa; Chordata; Mammalia; Rodentia; Cricetidae.
AUGAAGAUGAGUCCAACCAAACCUGCGCAGCCAGAACCUGCCAGGCUGACCAGUUUUCUUGUGGAAAUGGGCGCUGCAUUCCCAGAGCCUGGUUGUGUGACAGAGAGGAUGAUUGUGGUGACCAGACAGAUGAAGUGGCAUCCUGUGAAUUCCCGACGUGCGAGCCGCUAACUCAGUUCGUAUGCAAGAGUGGAAGAUGCAUCAGCAGCAAAUGGCACUGUGACACUGGCA